AGCAGCCGCGGUAAUUCCAGCUCCAAUAGCGUAUAUUAAAGUUGUUGCAGUUAAAAAGCUCGUAGUUGAAUUUCGAGACCGGUUUACUGGUCGUGCUUUUGUACGUACUGGUAUAAUCGGUUUCUCUUUUCUGACGAACUAUAAUGCCAUUAAUUUGGUGUUAUAGGGAAUCAGGACUGUUACUUUGAAAAAAUUAGAGUGUUUAAAGCAGGCUCACGCUUGAAUACAUUAGCAUGGAAUAAUGAAAUAGGACGUUUGAUUCUAUUUUGUUGGUUUCUAGGAUCGACGUAAUGAUUAAUAGGGAUAGUUGGGGGCAUUAGUAUUCAAUUGUCAGAGGUGAAAUUCUUGGAUUUAUUGAAGACUAACUACUGCGAAAGCAUUUG
This 383-nucleotide ribosomal RNA is filed under the name uncultured Glomus. RNAcentral describes it as "SSU rRNA". It matches the Rfam family "Eukaryotic small subunit ribosomal RNA", at positions 569 to 957 of the family's 1831-position model. The record is from RNAcentral. Lineage: Eukaryota; Fungi; Glomeromycota; Glomeromycetes; Glomerales; Glomeraceae.